AAUCAACGCUGGCGGCGUGCCUAACACAUGCAAGUCGAACGAGAAAGUGGGGGCAACUCCACAAGUAAAGUGGCAGACGGGUGAGUAACACGUGAACAACCUACCCUUGAGUGUGGAAUAACACCGCGAAAGCGGUGCUAAUACCGCAUGACAUCCCCGGGUCGCAUGACUUGGAGAUCAAAAGCGCAAGCUGCUUGAGGAGGGGUUCGCGCCUGAUUAGCUAGUUGGUGAGGUAACGGCCCACCAAGGCAACGAUCAGUAGCCGGCCUGAGAGGGCGAACGGCCACACUGGAACUGAGACACGGUCCAGACUCCUACGGGUGGCUG
Molecule: ribosomal RNA, 327 nt
Filed under: uncultured Acidobacteriota bacterium
Lineage: Bacteria; Pseudomonadati; Acidobacteriota
Description: bacterial SSU rRNA
Rfam family: Bacterial small subunit ribosomal RNA
Source: RNAcentral